AGUGAACGCUGGCGGUAGGCCUAACACAUGCAAGUCGAACGGCAGCACAGUAAGAGCUUGCUCUUACGGGUGGCGAGUGGCGGACGGGUGAGGAAUACAUCGGAAUCUACUUUUUCGUGGGGGAUAACGUAGGGAAACUUACGCUAAUACCGCAUACGACCUACGGGUGAAAGCAGGGGAUCUUCGGACCUUGCGCGAUUGAAUGAGCCGAUGUCGGAUUAGCUAGUUGGCGGGGUAAAGGCCCACCAAGGCGACGAUCCGUAGCUGGUCUGAGAGGAUGAACGGCCCAACGGGAACUGAGAAACGGCCCAAGCCCCACAGGGGGGCAGCAGGGGGGAAAUUUGGCAAAGGGGCGAAAGCCUGAUCCAGCCAUCCCGGGGGGGUGAAGAAGGCCUGCGGGUUGUAAAGCCCUUUUGUUGGGAAAAAAAAGCAGCAGUUUAAAACCCCGCUGUUCUGCCGGUACCAAAAAAAAAACAACCGGCCAAUUGCGG
This 491-nucleotide ribosomal RNA is filed under the name uncultured bacterium. RNAcentral describes it as "partial 16S ribosomal RNA". It matches the Rfam family "Bacterial small subunit ribosomal RNA", at positions 29 to 506 of the family's 1533-position model. The record is from RNAcentral.